UGAGCUGUCAAACACAACUAACUCCUGCAUGCUGCAAUGGAAAGGGGGAACGUAUUAGACCUGUCUGUUCCCAAAUAAAAAGGUUUAAGAUAAACGUUAUCUCGCUGAUACACUCAGAACUUUUUUUUUGGGUGUUGGGACACGCAGCAAAGGGCCGCAGGUCGGAUUCAAACCCGGGCUGCUGCCAAGGACUCAGACUACAUGGGGCGCACGCUCUUACUGGGUGAGCUAGAGGUCGCCCCCACUCAGAACUUCUUAAGUACUGUAAGGUUUUAGAUUAGAUUCAACUUUAUUGUCAUUGCAGAGAGUACAGGUACUGAGACAACGAAAUGCAGUUUAGCAUCUAACCAGAAGUG
Molecule: long non-coding RNA, 356 nt
Organism: Sander lucioperca (pikeperch)
Lineage: Eukaryota; Metazoa; Chordata; Actinopteri; Perciformes; Percidae
Exons: 2
Source: RefSeq, a predicted model, not a curated record